ACUUAAACUCAAACGGCAACAUGAAUUGUAUUUGUGUAUUUUCGCUCAUGUGCCUGUUUACCACAAAUUUGUUAUAACUUGUACCGAUAAUUUAAUACUCAAAGUAACAUUCCGCGAUAGUUGUAAUUUGUUCUCAGUCCAUUCGUGUUUCUACACAGACAUUCUCGUUGGUUGUGAUUUUUGUGCUUGUUGGAUCUUACAAAUACACCAUGGCAAUGUCUUAAUGUGAUUCUUGUAAAAAUUACCAAUCUGGCAUAGCUCGUUAUUAAAGAGACACAUAAUCUCAACUGCGUGUCGUGAGUGAAAUAACACUAAGGAGGAAGCAGUAGUAGUACAAGUAGUAGAAGCAUAAGUUCUACCGAUGACACUGACUUUACUGUUGCUGAUUCUGAUGGAGUGUAGACCUACUUUGUACUCAUUAUUCCACAGGGAAGUUUAUGCAACCGAUGGAGAAACUAUUAAUCUUGAAUUCGAUGGGAAACAACCUUUUCAAAUAACUUUUUCACAAAGCAAUGACACGUUUACUAUUGGAGGCUGUUCUUCGUUUGACGUCUGCUAUUUCAUGAACUCCUCACUAACCGAAAAAUACAAAUUGAAAUUAACUUCCAAAGUCGGACAUUUAACGCUGCUCAAUAUCAGUAAUGAUCAUUAUGGAAAAUACACAAGCAUUCGUCUGCACACCGAAGACACCGAAUCGAUGUCAUAUUCAGUAUUACCCAGGUACAAUAUGGUUAAGAAUGGAUGUGGUGGCGCUGGAACAAUCUUUUCUGUUUGGACUGUUCUUGGAUAUCUUACCUGGACGUGUGUUGUGCAAAGCUUAUUAAUGUUGUCUUCACGAAUAUAUUAAACCGAAAAUAUAUUGUACAUAUGGGUGUAUCGAUAUAUAUAUAGAAUAUUUAUGGGAAGAUUAUUAUGUAUACUGUGUUCAAACCUUUGAAAUAUGCAAGCCUAAGAUUUUACAAGAUCGUUUGUUGGUAAGGUUUAUUCUGAAAUUUAAAAUUAUACUUGAUAUGAACGUUUGUGAAGAUCCCGUGCAGUUAAACGACAAAUCCUACUUUGAAAAUGAUGUUAAUAAAUAUACAUAUGCUUAAAAGAGGUAUAAUCACAAGACAAAAGGAAACUGUGACAUUAUAGUCACAUAUUUAAAACUGUUUGUGUUAAUAUUAACGAGACUGGAUAUGUUAAAUAAUUGUGCACACUUUAAAGCAAUGUUAAGUUUGUGAUAUUAUUGUAUAUAUUUGCAAUGUUCAAUAACAGAACUGUGUUGUUAAUGUUUGUUUAAUAUAGAUUAUGUUUACAUAGAUGCUGAAUGUAACUAUUUAAGACAAUGUUUUAACAAUUUUAUGUGCAUAAUUGUUCCUUUAAGUGAAAAUAGAAUAAACAUAGUAAAAGCUAGAAAUAGUUAUUAAAGCAUUAUUAGAAAAACAUUUGUGUAUGAUUAAACUAUAUCACACAGACAUGAUGUUGCGAUAUUAAAUUAGGCACAUGUUUAAUGUUAAGGAAUAUUAGUAUCGGAAAGGAGUUUUGAAAAUAAAAUGUAAUCAACAAACAACAAAAUUUCUACAUUGAGCCCCAAUCUGAUGCAUAAAUGUUAAGUACUUUUAGUCAGAUAUUUAAAUGGGGAACUGAAGUUAUUAUGAAUAUUUUUACAUUUAAGUUAUUGUUAAUGCAUUUGAACACAGACACAUUGGUUAAGCUACUUGGCCUUAUUUCUGCGUGUAUCUAUAAGCCAAUGGCAUUCGGAACAAUCGAGCUCAAAUAUAGAUGUAUCAACUAAAAUAAUUGUUGUCAUUGCGGUCUAACAUCCAUCCUAUGUGACAUCCAUCCUAUGUGAUACUAUGUGAUACAAGGAUUACAAUGUUUAACCAUGGUGAUCAUGAUAAUUGGUUUUCUUGGAUGGACAUAAGUGAACUUUUUUAGAACUAUCAAGAUUCUAUACAUGUUUGUCUGUAAACAAAAAGCAGCUAUGCAAAUGUUGUCAAAGAUAUUUUAAGAAGUAUCAUAUUUCCUAUGUUAAGUUAGUCCGUAUGACAAUCAGUGCCUGCAAAUAAAUGUUUUACUAGUUAUUAAAAAUCUUACCACAAGAAUGUACAAGUCACUUGACCACCGUGUUGUGAUCAUUUUUAGUAAGACAGUGCAAAUCUAAGUAGUAGCUGCUGGCUUUUUUAUUAAACACAUGUAUAUGAUUUCUUGUUUAUUGUGUAAUUAAUAAAUCGGCUGUUACUUGUUGUUCCAUGAUUCAAAGACAGCAUGGUAAUUUGUUUUAGAUAAUAAACUUUGUUACUACUAAGUCUUGCUAACAAACUGUAUCUUAUGCUGUAUUAUACUUGUUGUUUACUAAAUAAAUUAAAUAGUGUAUGAAACAUA
Molecule: RNA transcript, 2367 nt
Organism: Dreissena polymorpha
Lineage: Eukaryota; Metazoa; Mollusca; Bivalvia; Myida; Dreissenidae
Exons: 3
Source: RefSeq, a predicted model, not a curated record